AUCUGGAUCAUUUACUUUGAAAAAAUUAGAGUGUUUAAAGCAGGCUUACGCCGUGAAUACAUUAGCAUGGAAUAAUAAUAUAGGACUUUUGUUCUAUUUUGUUGGUUUCUAGGAUGAAAGUAAUGAUUGAAAGGGAUAGUUGGGGGUGCUAGUAUUCAGUGGCCAGAGGUGAAAUUCUUGGAUUCACUGAAGACUAACUACUGCGAAAGCAUUCACCAAGGAUGUCUUCUUUAAUCAAGAACGAAAGUUGGGGGAUCGAAGACGAUCAGAUACCGUCGUAGUCUCAACCAUAAACUAUACCGACUAAGGAUCAGCGGACGUCAAUUUUUACGACUCCGUUGGCACUUUAUGAGAAAUCAAAGUCUUUGGGUUCCGGGGGGAGUAUGGUCGCAAGGCUGAAACUUAAAGGAAUUGACGGAAGGGCACCACCAGGAGUGGAGCCUGCGGCUUAAUUUGACUCAACACGGGAAAACUUACCAGGUCCAGACAUAGUGAGGAUUGACAGAUUGAAGAUCUUUCUUGAUUCUAUGGGUGGUGGUGCAUGGCCGUAUAGUUGUGGAGUGAUUGUCUG
RNAcentral lists this ribosomal RNA (571 nucleotides) under Cercomonadida sp. D2. Its description in RNAcentral is "SSU rRNA". It matches the Rfam family "Eukaryotic small subunit ribosomal RNA", at positions 741 to 1317 of the family's 1831-position model. The record is from RNAcentral. Lineage: Eukaryota; Cercozoa; Cercomonadida.